UCAUUUCUCCUUUUGUUUUUCCUUUAUCAAAAUGGCCUCCUUCAAAGAGAUCAUAUCAACACUCCCAAGAAGAAAAAGCUGGUAUGGCGAUGAUACUUUUUUGUAUCAAGGCUUUUGGUGUGACACAUUUUUUAUUGAAGGAUUAAUGAGAGCUCAACAAAAUUUUCGAUCUCAACCUCCUGAUAUCGUCAUAUGCAGUGCUAUGAAAACCGGAACAACAUGGUUAAAGUCCCUCACUUUUGCCAUUGUAACAAGAUCCACCUUCGAUGAUUCCACUAACCCUCUAUUUAACAAUCUAUCACAUGAUUGUGUACCCCUUUUAGAGGUUGAUUUAGCCCAAUCUUCCACCAAUCGAGACCCUAAAAAUCCUUUGUUAGCCACACAUGCCCCUCACUGUUCUUUACCAAGAUCAAUAAUUGAUUCUAGUUGUAAAAUUGUUUACAUUUGUAGGGACCCUAAGGAUUCAUUAGUUUCGCUUUAUCACUUCUUUGCUAGGUACUUGGCAUCCAAAGACAUGAAGCCUCCUGCUUUAGAAGAGGCCUUUGAGCUUUUUUGCCAAGGUGUAAGCUCUUACGGACCUUAUUGGGACCAUGUUCUAGGGUUUUGGAAAGCAAGUUUGGACCGACCUGAUAAGAUUCUUUUCUUGAAAUACGAAGAAAUGAUAGAAGAUACUAUUUUAUACGUUAAGAAAAUAGCUGAUUUCAUCGGUUAUCCUUUCUCUUUUGAAGAACUUGAAAAAGGAUCAGUCGAAAAAAUCGUAAACAUGUGUAGUUUCGAGAAUUUAAGCAAUUUGGAAGUGAAUAAAAGCGGAAAACACCGUGAGGGAACUCCAGCGGUGAUUGAAAACAAGAUGUAUUUCCGAAAAGGUAAGGUUGGGGAUUGGGAGAAUUAUUUGACACCUGAAAUGGCUGCUCGGUUGGACUCGAUAACGUUGCAGAAGCUAAAUGGUUCAGGCUUAACUCUAUGAUUGAAUAAUAAAGCAGCCAUGGGGUACAUUUUGCCUUCUCUGCAAUUUCGACAUAUUAUGUUUCUAAAAAUAAAUUGUGUAUGCUUUUUGCAAGUAGCAACACUUCUCGUGUUGUUCAUGUUAAGAUCAAUUAAAAGUAUAGUUGGUUCAAUUGAAAUCGAUUCAAUCAAUAAAAUUUGAUAUAAGUUGAUUUGAUUUUGUUAGUUUAAUAUUUAUGGAUAAACUACACCAACUCUCCUAAGUUUUGUAUAAAAUUACAUUUCAGUUACUCAACUUUCAAAAUUUAUAUCAUAGUCACUGACAUGAUCAAAUUGUUACAUUUUUGUCACUCGACUGUUAACUUUAAAGAAGUAACGUUGCACAUAAAUUCAAAAGGUUAAUAGCUAAUUUGGUCCCUGAACUAUAGUUAAAAAAUUAUUUUCACAUUUAAAUAAUUGUAAAAAAGUAAAAAAAAAAGUCUUAAAAAUAAAAUUCAUAUAAAAAACCAGUUGCAGCGAGAAACAACUAAGAAUUUUGCUACUGUCUUUGCUCUUUUUUUCUUUUUUUUUUUCCUCUCUUUUUUCAUGUAGACCGACGUUGGCUCUUCUCUUCCCAAAUCUUUAAAAAUAAUAUAUAGGUUUUAUUUAUAGCUAAAAGAAAAAUAUUGACUUGAAAAGGUGGGUUUGGAGAAGAAGAAUAGCACUUUGUAUUAUAAAUUUAAAAACAAAAACCCAAUCAGUGUAACACCCCAAACCCAAUCUAGACGUUGUGACCGAAUCUUGAAGGUUACAUUAACUUCUUGAAAAUUUAGAUUGUUAUUUUCUGAAAUUUCGACUUGUUUUUCUGUAAAAAUAAAUUCUUAGUAAAAAACUCGUUUUCACUUAUUAGUUGCAAAAAAAAAAAAAAACACCAUUCUACAAUAACGGUUUCUUUAAAACAUUUGUUCUUUACUCAUAAAUUGAAAUAAUAGAAAUACUGUGAACUCGCUUAUUUUUCAGAAAACUAGAUUUCUCAUUUUGUUUUGCAACGAAAAAACUUUAACUUGUUUAAUUUUGAAAAUAAAACAUUUUUUUUAAUUAACAGAAAUCAUGUAGAAAAUUUAAACUAAUUAACUAAAAAAGCAUAGUUGAUUGAAUAUGUGAAAUGUGAUUAAAAACAACAUGUAAAAGAAAAUGCGAAAUGAUUUAUAUGAGUCCGAAGGAUCGAUAUGAAAGUUAAAAAAAAUCAAUAGAUUUGAUGAUUAAAUGAUAUGAUUAAAUGAUAUUUUUUUUAUAGUGGAAAAAGUAGCAUGGUAUGUUAUAAUGAUUUGCCGAUUUGCAUAAUGUAUGUGUCGAAACAAUUUUUUUUAUAAAACGGGAUCGAUUUUAAUUUUGAAAAUGAAAACGAACAUGGGAGUUGCCACCAAUCCUUUUUAUUUAGGUGUGAUCGGAUCACUUUAUAAUUUAAUCAUUUUAAUAAAAGUUUUAAAUUUACUAAAACGAUAAUUUUUGGUCUACAAAAUCCAGAAAAUGGGUUCGGGAGUCAAUUACGCACGAGGAAGGGUUAGCACGCUCGUAACGCCCAGAAAUUGGUACCUAGUUGAUUAAUUAGUGUCUUAGUGUUGAGGAUUGAAAACUUUGAAGAGUUUUAAAAAUACGAUCCUUAAAAAAAACUCGAAUAACAUGGGUUAGAAUUUAGGAUUCUCUUGUUCUGAAGGAAUAUCACAUCCAGCACGUUAGGAUACAAUACUUUAAACCCUUGAAACCAAGAUUACCUUACGGUUUCCAAAACCCAUAUUUUUGAAAUUUUAAGAGGAUAUUUGGCUAUUUGGUCGAACGAGAAAUCGAAACCCAGCACGUUAGGGCGUGUUUUCUCGAAUUUCCAAACGCAAAAUAUUGUCUUAUUUUAAAACUCUUUUUUUUGAAUAAUAGCGAGUACAACACUUGAACGACAUACAUUUGUUUUAUUUAUGAUAAAACAUAAAAGUUUAUUAUAGGUAUAUACAAAUCGAGCGCAACUUUUAAAGUGAUGAAAUGGAAUGAUAAUGGGGCAUGAAAUAACAACUAACGAAUAAAAUGAUACAUUAAUGCAUGACAAGUAUACGAAAACACGAAUAAAUGAAGCAUAGUUCCCACAAUUACAAUAAGCACAGAACAUAUAACAUUUUAAUACCAACAUUAAUAAUCAAAGGGAAAUAAAGAAAUAAUAUAUGAAAUAAUUUGAAGUAAAUAACAAUAUAAAAUAAGUGAUUUAUAAGAACAAUAAAUAAUAAGGGUUUCAAAUAAACAAUCAAUAGGAAUCUUAAAAUAAAUAAUAACAAAACAGUUUAAAAUAAAUAAAUAAAUAAGGUAUGGAACAGUUUUAAAGAAUAUAUGAAAAUUUGAAAGGCAUAUAUAUACAAUUGAUAAUAUAAAUAUUAUGUAAAACCGUUUAAAACAAAUAAUGUAUGGAACUUAAAAUUAAUAAUGCUAACGAGCCUUCUUUUUUUUAAAAGAAUGAAUAUAAAUUAAAUGGGCCUAGGACGAAAUUGAAUUCGAAUUAAAGAGUCGGGUCUAAAUUAAAAAAAAAGGCUGCCGAGGAUCAAAAUAAGAUGCGCCCGAAGAACGAGGGACUUAUUGGGAAAAUAUUUCCUUCCCUCAUGCGCAAGUUCAACACGGACCAGAUUGGAACGAACGGAAAAUCAUGCGGCCUAAAUAAAAAGACAACAUGGAUUAGAUUGCACCACAGCGCAAAAGCGGAGGGACCCCUCACAUAAAUAGACCCUCCAAGCAAAACACGCGGAUCCUGCUACUGGGUCGGGUCGCGCUUGCGGGUUAAGGGCCAAAACAACGUCGUUUUGGUAACUGAACCCUAACUUACAAAACGGCGCCGUUUAAUAACCUUAUUUAAAUCAAAUUUAAAAAAAAAUCAUUUUUUUAGUGUUUAGAGAAAAAAAAAACUUCAAAAUCUCCCAUAUGUCUCUCUCAACCCCACUUGGCCAGCGUGGGUUCCCUCGGAGAAUCUGCUGCACCACCGCCGUCUGCAACUCUCGACUCAACAAUGUUUGUAUAGUUCCUUUACGUUUUGGUAUAUGACAUGUACUUAAGUUUUGAGUUGGUUUUGUAUCUUGGAUGGUCAUUUGGAAAAUUGGAUAGUUGAUGUCAAUUUGAAUUUAUGAAUAUGAGAUGUUUAAGUUAUCAUGAACAUUAUGUGAUGUUUAAAUGGUUAAGUGGUAUAAACGAUCAUAUGUAUUAAGUUAGAUCUGAGUUGUGAAUGGUUAAAUUGAUAAACAUGAAUGAUAAUGACAUAGCAAAGGUAGUAUAUGAAGUGUUGAUGUAGGUAUUAUGCUUGAACGGAUUGGUUUCGCAUUGGUUAUUUUGGUUAUUAGGUUAGCAUGGAUUGGUUCCAUAUAAACAUUUCAAAACAGCAUGUCAUGUUGUAACAAGAAAUUGAUAGUGAAUGAUGUCGCGACUUGGAAUCUCCCAAGUUGUGACGUCAACUCGAUAGUUUUAACAUUUUAUAUUUUAGUCCUUAAACGACCUUAGGUUAUCGAAAGAGCUUUCGUAUGCUCGUAUAAACCUUGGAUAUGUUUGUUAAUAUGAUAUAAUGAUGUAUUGAUCAUAAUUACAUGUAUAAACUGUUGAAUUGAUAAAAUUUAGAUCGUAGUUGUUCCAACAACGAAUGUGACAUCCCAUAACUUGGACCUGCGAUCAAGUAGGGUAUGGGGUUUACGAGAAAGGUGGGCUUCGAGAAGAAGAAUAGCACUUUGUAUUAUAAAUUUAAAAACAAAAACUCAAUCAGUUUAGUAAAUGGAGUUAGAGAAGAAAUAAUGGGUUUAGAAAAGAAGUAGAGCACUUUGUGUUAUAAAUUAAAUGAAAAAAAAAAUCAAAAAUUUCAAAAAAUUGAAACUUACCAAAGAGUCCAAAUAAAUAUAAUAUAAUACAACAUUUUGCUCUUCUCUCUUGCUCGAUAGGCCGUUGGUGGUAGAAGUUUUUAUGAUUCUCAAGAAUGAAAGCACUGUUACCCAAGCCUUGAUAUUGUUUCCUGAAAAUUCGAGCAGCAACAAUCGGUCUAAUAAUUAUAAUUAGUUAGACUUUUCUAGAUAAUAAAAUACUAUUACGUACCAAUUUUACAAACUACUAACAAUAUAUAUUUGACAGUUAAAAGUUUUUUUUUACAUAAAACGAAUAUUUAGAAAAUUUUAAUGUAUGUCAAUCUUGACAUACAUGAUCUAUAUGAAUGGAGUAUGAAAUAUGACGGUAGGAUUGUUAAAAUAAAAAUUGUAUAAAAAGUUACUAAAUUAUGCAAAACCACUUUAAUUUUACAACCGUGUAAGUGAAUUUCUCCUCUUAUUUUAUUUUUUAAGUAUUAUAUUAAUAAUUUUUAUCUUACAUAUUUUAUUUAUGUUUUCUGGGUACAUGUUUUAUCUUAAGAUUUGUAUAAUUCUUUACACAAUAAUAAUUCAUUUUACAUAGUUAUAAAAAAUCAUUAAUUUUACAUAAAUUUUGAUAUAUUAUUAUAUUUUGGUUUAUGUUUAUUUCUAUGUGACAUGAUAAUUUUAAUUAUUUAAAUUUUUUUUAUCUUCGAAUAAAUUUGUCAAAUAAUUUAAUAUUUAAAUCAUUAUAUAUAGUGUACAAAUCAUAUAAUAAAAAAUUAAUCUAACUUUACGAAGCAUAAUGAGCAGGUAUAUUCUAGUGAUAUAUUAAAUAUAUUAUAUAACUCUUUUACAUACUUUUUUUACCUUCAAAAAGUCAAAUUCUUGAUCAUUUUAGUCUCUUUUUUUAUUAUCAUUUUAGUUUUGAAUCAUCAAAUUUCAAUUAAAUUACCUUUUUUUUGGACGUAAAAGGUUGACCUAACAAGUAAACUUUUAAACGUGAUAGCCUGUAUAGUAGUGCAUGUGUAUUUUAUUGUUGACGUGGAUGAUUAUUUUCAAAACUUUUAUGAACUUUUUGAAUUUUUAUUUUUAUUUAAUUUAUGAAGUAAGCGCGGACUUUCAUGUGUGUCACCAUGUCACUUCCGUUAAAAUUUUAAUAGUCCAAUUAAUUUUUCAGUUCAAAGAAAAACAAUUUAACAAAAAUUUGAAAAUUUAAAACAAACCGAUCCAAAAAAGUAUCAAGACAAAUGCAUUUAAGAAAAGAGAAAUUAUUUGGUAUACUGCCGGUAGAGCUUUUAUACUCCACAAGCAAAAUCAGGGGUUAAUAAGUAUCCUAUAGAAAAUACCAAUUUUUUAAGAUUACUUAUAAAAUAAAAUAAAAAUACACUUCACAGUUCACCCCAAUUAUUGUUAACAAAACCUGAUUCCAAAUCUUUUAAAAUAAUACAAAAAAAUCUAUCAACUAGAUUGUUUAGGGACAAAAUCUUGCAUGGGACAGACCUUGACAAUGGGUAAAUAAGCACUAGCUACAUUUUUUAUUUAUUUAGUCCCUAUAAUUCUAUUUCAAUUCAAGAAAUUACGUGGUGGAUAUAAUAAAAAAAUGUUAUUAAAAGCAAAUAAUUUUCGUCACUAAGUUCACAUGGUUCAAUUACAAAAAAAAUAUUGUGCAAUUGUGAAAGAAAUUACCUUUUCUCUAAAGCUAUUUAUAGACCCAAUUUUUGUCAAAAUAUUUGCACUCAUUUCCCCUUUCUUUUUCCUUUAUGAAAAUGGCCUCCUUCAAAGAGAUUAUAUCAACACUCCCAAGAAGAAAAAGUUGGAAUGACUCAAAUAACGACUUUUUUUUGUAUCGAGGCUUCUGGUGUUACUCGUUUUUCAUUGAAGGAGUGAUGUCGGCUCAACAAAAUUUCCAAUCUCAACCUUCCGAUAUCGUCAUAUGCAGUGCACCGAAAACUGGAACAACAUGGUUAAAGUCCCUCACUUUUGCCAUUGUCACAAGAAUCACCUUCGAUGAUUCCACUAACCCUUUACUUGCCAAUCUAUCACAUGAUUGUGUACCACUUUUAGAGGUUGAUUUAGCCCAAUCUUCCAUCAAUCGAGACCCUAAAAAUCCUUUGUUAGCCACACAUGUCCCUUACUCAUCUUUACCAAGAUCAAUAAUUGAUUCCAGUUGUAAAAUUGUUUACAUUUGUAGGGACCCUAAGGAUUCAUUCGUUUCGUUUUAUCACUUCAUUGCUAGGCGCUUGGCAUCCAAAGACAUAAAGCCCCUUGCUUUAGAAGAGGCCUUUGAGCUUUAUUGCCAAGGUGUAAGCAAUUAUGGACCUUAUUGGGACCAUGUUCUAGGGUUUUGGAAAGCAAGUUUGGACCGACCUGAUAAGAUUCUUUUCUUGAAAUACGAAGAAAUGAUAGAAGAUACUGUUUUAUACGUUAAGAAAUUAGCUGAUUUCAUCGGUUACCCUUUCUCUUCUGAAGAAAUCAAAAAAGGGUCAGUCGACAAGAUCAUAAGCAUGUGUAGCUUC
Molecule: long non-coding RNA, 7294 nt
Filed under: Gossypium barbadense (sea-island cotton)
Lineage: Eukaryota; Viridiplantae; Streptophyta; Magnoliopsida; Malvales; Malvaceae
Description: long non-coding RNA (GBAR_LNC013810)
Source: RNAcentral